AGUGGCGGACGGGUGAGUAAUGCUUGGGAAUCUACCCAGUAGUGGGGGACAACACGGGGAAACUCGUGCUAAUACCGCAUACGUCCUACGGGAGAAAGUGGGGGAUCUUCGGACCUCACGCUAUUGGAUGAGCCCAAGUCGGAUUAGCUUGUUGGUGGGGUAACGGCCUACCAAGGCGACGAUCCGUAGCUGGUCUGAGAGGACGAUCAGCCACACUGGGACUGAGACACGGCCCAGACUCCUACGGGAGGCAGCAGUGGGGAAUAUUGGACAAUGGGGGCAACCCUGAUCCAGCAAUGCCGCGUGUGUGAAGAAGGCCUGCGGGUUGUAAAGCACUUUCAGUAGAGAAGAAAUGCCUGGGGUUAAUAACUCCGGGUCUUGACGUAACCUACAGAAGAAGCACCGGCUAACUCCGUGCCAGCAGCCGCGGUAAUACGGAGGGUGCGAGCGU
RNAcentral lists this ribosomal RNA (451 nucleotides) under uncultured bacterium. RNAcentral's name for it is "bacterial SSU rRNA". It matches the Rfam family "Bacterial small subunit ribosomal RNA", at positions 94 to 541 of the family's 1533-position model. The record is from RNAcentral.